UACGUAGGGUGCAAGCGUUAAUCGGAAUUACUGGGCGUAAAGCGUGCGCAGGUGGUGAUGUAAGACAGAUGUGAAAUCCCCGGGCUCAACUUGGGAACUGCAUUUGAGACUGCAUCGCUGGAGUGCGGCAGAGGGGGAUGGAAUUCCGCGUGUAGCAGUGAAAUGCGUAGAUAUGCGGAGGAACACCGAUGGCGAAGGCAAUCCCCUGGACCUGUACUGACGCUCAUGCACGAAAGCGUGGGGAGCAAACAGG
Molecule: ribosomal RNA, 253 nt
Filed under: uncultured bacterium
Lineage: Bacteria
Description: partial 16S ribosomal RNA
Rfam family: Bacterial small subunit ribosomal RNA
Source: RNAcentral